Molecule: ribosomal RNA, 766 nt
Filed under: uncultured bacterium
Lineage: Bacteria
Description: bacterial SSU rRNA
Rfam family: Bacterial small subunit ribosomal RNA
Source: RNAcentral
CAGUCGAGGGGCAGCGGUGGUGAAGGCUUGCCUUCACCAGCCGGCGACCGGCGCUUGGGUGAGUAACACGUAUGCAACCUGCCUGCCACAGCCGGAUAAUCGGGAGAAACCCCGUCUAAUACGGCAUAAUGCAUCGACGGGACAUCCUGUUGGUGCCAAAGGUUAAUUCCGGUGGCGGAUGGGCAUGCGUCGCAUUAGUUAGUUGGCGGUGUAACGGACCACCAAGACGACGAUGCGUAGGGGUUCCGAGAGGAAGGUCCCCCACACUGGUACUGAGACACGGACCAGACUCCUACGGGAGGCAGCAGUGAGGAAUAUUGGUCAAUGGGCGGGAGCCUGAACCAGCCAAGUCGCGUGAGGGGAUGACGGCCCUAUGGGUUGUAAACCUCUUUUGCCGGGGAGCAAAGUGCCGCACGUGUGCGGUUUGGAGAGUACCCGGAGAAAAAGCAUCGGCUAACUCCGUGCCAGCAGCCGCGGUAAUACGGAGGAUGCGAGCGUUAUCCGGAUUUAUUGGGUUUAAAGGGUGCGUAGGCGGACGCUUAAGUCAGCGGUAAAAUUGCGGGGCUCAACCUCGUCGAGCCGUUGAAACUGGGUGCCUUGAGUGGGCGAGAAGUACGCGGAAUGCGUGGUGUAGCGGUGAAAUGCAUAGAUAUCACGCAGAACUCCGAUUGCGAAGGCAGCGUACCGGCGCCCAACUGACGCUGAAGCACGAAGGCGUGGGUAUCGAACAGGAUUAGAUACCCUGGUAGUCCACGCAGUAAACGAU